AAACCAACCGGGAUUGCCUUAGUAACGGCGAGUGAAGCGGCAAAAGCUCAAAUUUGAAAUCUGGUACCUUCGGUGCCCGAGUUGUAAUUUGGAGAGGGCAACUUUGGGGCCGUUCCUUGUCUAUGUUCCUUGGAACAGGACGUCAUAGAGGGUGAGAAUCCCGUGUGGCGAGGAGUGCGGUUCUUUGUAAAGUGCCUUCGAAGAGUCGAGUUGUUUGGGAAUGCAGCUCUAAGUGGGUGGUAAAUUCCAUCUAAAGCUAAAUAUUGGCGAGAGACCGAUAGCGAACAAGUACAGUGAUGGAAAGAUGAAAAGAACUUUGAAAAGAGAGUGAAAAAGUACGUGAAAUUGUUGAAAGGGAAGGGCAUUUGAUCAGACAUGGUGUUUUGUGCCCUCUGCUCCUUGUGGGUAGGGGAAUCUCGCAUUUCACUGGGCCAGCAUCAGUUUUGGUGGCAGGAUAAAUCCAUAGGAAUGUAGCUUGCCUCGGUAAGUAUUAUAGCCUGUGGGAAUACUGCCAGCUGGGACUGAGGACUGCGAC
RNAcentral lists this ribosomal RNA (535 nucleotides) under Saccharomyces cerevisiae (brewer's yeast). RNAcentral's name for it is "LSU rRNA". It matches the Rfam family "Eukaryotic large subunit ribosomal RNA", at positions 62 to 600 of the family's 3401-position model. The record is from RNAcentral. Lineage: Eukaryota; Fungi; Ascomycota; Saccharomycetes; Saccharomycetales; Saccharomycetaceae.